AAUAAAACAAAAAAAGUGUUUCAUUUGAUUACACCCUAAAAUCACUGUGUUUCUGAUACUGGUGUACUUUGUUUUUUCAAUGCUUGACUCUACAUGUCAUCAUUUGAGCUUCUACUAUGGCCUACAUGUGGGUCAACAUUAAAUGAAAAGGGUAAGUUUAAUUGCCCAAAUGUUUCUUACAGUAUAAAAUCAGAAAGCUUUGUUUGAAGACACCAUAAUAUCACUGUAUUUCUAAUAUUGGUCAUAUAUGUUUCUUUCUAUGCUCGACUCUCUUCAUCUACUGUACACGUCACUGCUUGAGUCCCUACUAUGGUAAAUGUGGGUCAUGUGACAACAUUAAAUUAACAAGGCAAAUUUCAUACCAUCUGAUGGAGUAUCUGUUGUUAAAGAAUAAAGAAGAAUGGACUUGCAGCUACUCUUCACUCAAAUAGGGUCAACUUUCACCACAGCUGGAGUUUUGUUUAUGUGCAGCAUGGCACAUCCGUCUUCUUGCUAAGCCACGAGAGGAAAGCAUAUGCAAACCUAUCAGUUUUCAUGUUAUAAACAUAUCAGUGUUAUGUUAUGCUGUGGCGCCUCCUGCUGGAUCAUAAUUGUACUGCAUUAGUAGUUUUUCUGAGGGUUUAUCAUCUUGGUUUUGGUAAUAGCCAACUUAGUGUCUUGUAAAUAAUACCUUGCUAUAGUCUUGAGUAUUGCAUAUUAGCUCUUCUGUCAACCAACAUUAAACCAUUCUCUUUAGAUCACUGUUAAGACUUUCAAAAGAUUUUCAUGUUGUUCUGGUUUCUUGAAUUA
Long non-coding RNA from Onychostoma macrolepis, 789 nucleotides. RefSeq lists it as uncharacterized. The record is from RefSeq and is a predicted model, not a curated record. The transcript is spliced from 4 exons. Lineage: Eukaryota; Metazoa; Chordata; Actinopteri; Cypriniformes; Cyprinidae.